This 118-nucleotide small RNA is filed under the name Salmonella enterica. Its description in RNAcentral is "partial RtT sRNA". It matches the Rfam family "RtT RNA", at positions 17 to 130 of the family's 130-position model. From Rfam's summary of the family: This family represents a bacterial cis-regulatory element known as RtT RNA. The record is from RNAcentral. RNAcentral also lists the same sequence under 1 other name. Lineage: Bacteria; Pseudomonadati; Pseudomonadota; Gammaproteobacteria; Enterobacterales; Enterobacteriaceae.
CGAGGAUGAGAACCUCCGGGGGCAAGAGGUUCGACUCGAGCGCAGCGAGAGAACGUUGCGUCAGCAACGGCCCGCAGGGCGAGCCACGCAGUGGCGAGUCAUCCUCUAUCACCGACCA